Long non-coding RNA from Mobula hypostoma (lesser devil ray), 328 nucleotides. RefSeq lists it as uncharacterized. The transcript is spliced from 3 exons. Lineage: Eukaryota; Metazoa; Chordata; Chondrichthyes; Myliobatiformes; Myliobatidae. The record is from RefSeq and is a predicted model, not a curated record.
GAAAAACCAUCGCAGAUACAAGCGUAAGCAACCCUAUGUGAAACACGUGGCGAGUGAAUCGAGACAACGAGGAACGCCUGGCCAGCGUAACCUCCUUUGCCCGGGAGCGGAUGCAGAGUCUAUAGGAGUGAGGUAAAGCUGCAUCAACUUCAAGGACCUUAGGAGGAUUGCAGAGGAGGAGGUGUUUGCUGUCUUGAUGCAAAUUCAGGUAUUUACAAACAGUUGAUACCUGUGAACUAUCAGGAAAACAUCAGAAAGAACAUUCAAGGGAACUCGUCCCACAGCUCAACCCACGAAGUCUCCAUGCCGCCACUGGGAAUGUAGAAGG